CGCAAAANAGAAGAGUGGAAUUCCCACGUGUACCGGUGAAAUGCGUAGAGAUGUGGAAGGAACACCAAGUGGCGAAGGCGACUUCUCUGGUCUGUAACUUGCCGUGAGGAGCGAAAGCGUGGGGAGCGAACAGGAUUAGAUACCCUGGUAGUCCACGCCGUAAACGAUGAGUGCUAAGUGUUAGGGGGUUUCCGCCCCUUAGUGCUGCAGCUAACGCAUUAAGCACUCCGCCUGGGGAGUACGGUCGCAAGACUUGAAACUCAAAGGAAUUGACGGGGGCCCGCACAAGCGGUGGAGCAUGUGGUUUAAUUCGAAGCAACGCGAAGAACCUUACCAGGUCUUGACAUCNCUCUGACAACCCUAGAGAUAGGGCUUUCCCUUCGGGGACAGAGUGACAGGUGGUGCAUGGUUGUCGUCAGCUCGUGUCGUGAGAUGUUGGGUUAAGUCCCGCAACGAGCGCAACCCUUGAUCUUAGUUGCCAGCAUUCAGUUGGGCACUCUAAGGUGACUGCCGGUGACAAACCGGAGGAAGGUGGGGAUGACGUCAAAUCAUCAUGCCCCUUAUGACCUGGGCUACACACGUGCUACAAUGGACAGAACAAAGGGCUGCAAGCCCGCAAGGUUUAGCCAAUCCCAUAAAUCUGUUCUCAGUUCGGAUCGCAGUCUGCAACUCGACUGCGUGAAGCUGGAAUCGCUAGUAAUCGCGGAUCAGCAUGCCACGGU
Molecule: ribosomal RNA, 722 nt
Filed under: fern endophytic bacterium R46
Lineage: Bacteria
Description: bacterial SSU rRNA
Rfam family: Bacterial small subunit ribosomal RNA
Source: RNAcentral